RNAcentral lists this unclassified non-coding RNA (534 nucleotides) under Pyrenochaetopsis botulispora. Its description in RNAcentral is "sequence contains ITS1, 5.8S rRNA gene, ITS2". The stretch from base 180 to 333 matches the Rfam family "5.8S ribosomal RNA". The record is from RNAcentral. Lineage: Eukaryota; Fungi; Ascomycota; Dothideomycetes; Pleosporales; Pyrenochaetopsidaceae.
GUAACAAGGUUUCCGUAGGUGAACCUGCGGAAGGAUCAUUAUCAAAACAGCGGACUUCGGUCCUUGCUGCACCCUUGUCUUUUGCGUACCGUAUGUUUCCUCGGCGGGCUUGCCUGCCGGUUGGACAUUAUCAAACCUUUUUGUAGUUGCAAUCAGCGUCAGAAAAUAAUAAUAAUUACAACUUUCAACAACGGAUCUCUUGGUUCUGGCAUCGAUGAAGAACGCAGCGAAAUGCGAAAAGUAGUGUGAAUUGCAGAAUUCAGUGAAUCAUCGAAUCUUUGAACGCACAUUGCGCCCCUUGGUAUUCCAUGGGGCAUGCCUGUUCGAGCGUCAUUUUGUACCCUCAAGCACUGCUUGGUGUUGGGCGCUUGUCCUGCAAAGGACUCGCCUGAAAGCGAUUGGCGGCCAACGUACUGGUGGUAGAGCGCAGCACAAUUUGCGUCUUUCCCCUCUGCGUUAGCGUCCAUAAAGCCUAUUUCAACGUUUGACCUCGGAUCAGGUAGGGAUACCCGCUGAACUUAAGCAUAUCAAUAA